UUCAGCCUAGCCAGGUUAACCUGCAAAGAUUGAAUCAGUUCAGGCUCAGGCUCUUUGAAUGUCUGUCUCUAGCCCAAUUGUUUAAUAAUACCAUAUUGGUUUGUUUGGCAGUUAGUGUUUCUAAGGGAUUUUAUACUUUCAUUGGGGUGGUACUUAACCAUUUCUUUACCAAGGGAUUUGGUAAAUUCACUUGGAGCUUGUCAUUCUAAAAAAUCAAUGUCCUCUAGUUCAGCAGCCAAUUUACUGGGUUUCACACAUGGGUUACUGAUGAAUUUCUGUGCUCUGUUUUUUUGAAACAGGUCUUUUUGAAACAGAUCAUAAGGAUCAUAAGGCCGUAAGUCUGUAUGAGAGGUUUUCCUUCCCCUACAAUCCUGUUCCUUCUCCUGUAUAUUACUGUCAUAGCAUAUAGAGAUUGUAAAAGCCUUUAGCCAGCCUGGGGAUAGUUCCCCCUGACACUCUCAAUGGGGUGUUGUCAGAGAAGGCCCUGAAAAGGUUCCUUUUCAAGUUCUGGUAGAGGAAACACCAAUGGAGCCAUUCUGCCCAGCUCCAGAAUCUGAAAGUUUCUAUGGGCAGAUGCAAAAUCUAGAGUUAGAGCAAGUCAGGGCAGUCCCCAAAGCUGUCUGAAUUACUCAGGGGUUGCUUUGAUCCUUGACCAGCCCAGAACCCCAGAGACACAAAGCUGACCUUUGCUCAGCUCUUCUCAGGCUGCACAUUUGUAUGCUGUGGCACAACAUUGAAAGCUCACUCUGAGACAAUAUUAAUAGGUUAUUUGAUUGUUUAUUUAAGACUCUUUUGUCUCCCAGCUCAAAUACUAGCAGGUGUUCUUUAUGAUAUCUUAUAAAUGACUGUGCCUGAUACAAAGCUGCCAAUACUGGGGAAAGGUACAUUCCAACUUUGUCAGCUUUGCUUUUCACUGUUGCUGCUUUCGUUUUCUAUAACCCUGUGCUUCUUAUCUUGGUCUCGGUUUUAGGCUCUAGCAUCAAGUUAAUAUCAACAGAAUUAGUGCUCAAACAGCUCUGAGUGGUGGACUGAUAUUGGUCACUUCUUCCUUUUCUGUCAUACCAGAGUGAAUAUGCAGGCAAAAGUGGCUUUUGCCACUGUUCAAGCAGUGUUUGUUUUGAGAGCUCUUUGAGAUAGUGUCACUCAACUGCUCCCAGUCUUCCCAUGCAUUCCCAUAACUCCCUGGAGCAAAAUAUUUUUUGCUUCUGGACCAGAAGCUACCUACCAGUUUGUGUAGGCUGGUUUGGUGAUUCAGUCAUUCAGCUGCGGCUUCCACUGUCAGUAACUGUAUUCCUUCAGUGCUGGAACAAAGAUCUGUUUGAUGUUAAUUGAUAAUGAUAAUCAGGGACACACCUUCUCAGCAUAUUUCCAGAUGAGCAAAACCUGAUAGCAUGGCUCAGUGGAAUUCUUCUUUAGAGGCCUGAAGGCACGGUUUCAGGGCCAAAGCCCACAAUACAAACCCAUGGUCUUAUUUGAAUAUAGUAUAUCUCCUAGGCUAGGGACAGACAUUGCACAUAAACCAGUUUAAGUGAUCAGAAACCACUUAAGUGAUCAUCCACCUGGUUUCUCCCUGCUCCCCCCCUUUCCUCACCACUCCCUGUUAAACAGGGAUUAUUCGCCCCUCCCCUCUUCCUUCACAGACACCUCUCAGCAUUAACUAGCAUACCACAUUCUGGUUACUGUUCAUGCUGUGGGAGACCAGACAAAGGCAGACAGGACUGUGUCCACAUAGCUUUUGGGAGCUAACAUCCCUCCUUUCCUUCCUUGGAAAAAGUUGUUUAAGAAGAGCUUUAACUAAUGGGGAGAAGCUUUUGUUUUUUUUGUCUUCUUAAUGGGCUGAUAAACACUGAGUUACGGGUGAUAAACUCUGUGUUAUCAACUGCCUGAUGGGCUGCUCAGGAGUUGGAAAAAAUGUUCUUUGCAAGCUUUUGGGCACAAUCACCCUUCUUCAGGCAUGAAGGACAGAGACACAUAAACACCAAUAAAAACAUGUUUUUCAUAGCACAACCACUUCCUUUCUGACCUCACUAUGUCAGUUUACUGAAGCACUAAGAGCCAUGAGCUAUUUCCCCAGAAGUUUUCAUGCAGCACAUAAGUAGGUAGGGCAUCGAUGCAGACACAACAUUCCAGUGAUAUCUGGGUAUUAUUUUCCAUUGGGGAAAUUCUCAAUCAUUACAAUAAUGGUCUGUUUGAUGAUUCAGUUAUAAUGGUUUAUUAGCAUUGUCUUUUAUCUCUGUAUGUACCCCACACUUGAGUUAACUCUGCAGUGAAGACAUGGUAUAUACAUUGUGCACACAUUUUUAAUAAACAUGUCAUCACAUUUUACAAUAUAGCGUAACUGAGACAGAAGUACCGUUCUUGCUUGUUGAAUGUUGAUGCAGGGACUUUAGCACUGUGACCUGAGUCAUUUCCUAUUAAAUAAAGAGAGAUUACCUUGAAAUUUGAACUAAGAGUUCUGCUUAUCAGAAGCAAAUGACACAUUUGUUUUCUGGCCUUAUGAUAAAAAUGAACUUCUUUAGAUUGUUCACUAAAUCUUGUAUACAUGUUAUUUUGUACAGGGAUAUAAAGUAUUUGCCUUAGUCUUAUUGAAAGAUUUACAGUAGAAGUUGCUUAUACUGGUAGUGAACUUAGUUGCAAUGACAUUCUGGCUAUAACAAAAUGGAGCUGACUUGCAUAUUUCAAUGGAUUUUCAUUAUUAGCACUAGAGAAAAAUUCAUUCUGCUGUAAGUUCCAGCAGAGCUGUAAUUUGGAAUUCCACCGUUAUUUCCUCCCAGGUGGGUGCCAAGUGGUUCUUAUAAAGAAAACACUACCUCUUCUUCAUCAGCCCAAUCUAGACUACAAGGUUUUGUCAGUAAAAUUUGGUGUGUGUCUGCACUCAAACCCUUUUCUGCUGGCAGUUAUUCCUCCUCUGUUGAAUGGAGUAAGGUCUCUGCUAUUCAGAAGGUGCAUGUCACCUGAAACCUCAACCAGCUGCUAUGCUCCAUUCAGCAGCUGGUACCUCUCAGGGUGUACUUCACGUUCUGGGGGCUAGUAACUGAGUGGAACUGUGCGGAGGUGCUCCAAGUGCACAGAUGUGCACUUGCUCUGUUAGUUUGGUGAUAACAACUGUCCUCUAUCUUGAGAUAGCAGCAGAAGCAGCUGAGUGUAGACAAGGCCUCCUGCUUUGUCUGGGUAAGCAAAGGAUGAAAUGGUGAGAAUUUGCCUCUGCACAGAUGAAAUUCUGACUCCUUUUCCUCCUGGAUUCAUACCUAGUAAAGAGUAAAAAGAAGCUAGUUCCUGCUACCAUUUCUUUCAGUUGAAGUGAAGAUGUGACUGCCUUACCUCCCACUGAGAGCUGCCACCUGUAAUUAGCCUUAUGAGUUAAGGCAAAGUAAUGGCCUCUUCCUGCUCUAGUGUUUACAGUGGGUGGGGCAAAACCAAGUUCACUGAGUUUUCGGUGUAGAUUAGAGGCAAUAUAAAUACAAAUAUAACCAAAAAAAAAUCCAGAAUUUCUUAUCUUAAUGCAGUAAAAACGAACUUGUUGCUCUUGCUAGGUGCAGCAUUCUUGGUCCUCGGUACUCAGUGUCCUGGUUUCAGAUUAUGAUCAGCUUGGGAUAUUUUCUGGGUAUUUUUGCGUGUGUUCUAGCUGUGACGACUAAGUGAUUUAGACAACUCAAUCUCAUUUUUAAAAGGAAGGAAGGAAUUUAGGAGCCUAAGACUUAGUAAAAGUCAAUGGGAUAUGGGUUCCUAAAUUCUUAGGUCACUUCUAAAAAAUGGGGCUUUUAUAAAUCAGGGGUGUCAAACAAAUGGCCAGUGGGCAUCCUGCCCACAAGGUUUUCUGAGGUGCAGAAGACCCACCUCCAUAUCCAGCCUGCAAAGCUGGACAUUUGGCAGUACCAACUCUCACCGUUGCCAGAUCCACUGUAGUAAUGGAGCCAGCACCUGGCAGGAUCUAACACCACCACCACUGUCCCCAUCAUUGCUUUUUUAGAUUGAUUUCUCCAUUGAGGAUGCAAUUUUGCCACAGUAGGGCAAGGGACAACACUGUUAAUCCCUGCGGCUGCUAGAGUCACUAUGGGCACGUCUACACGAAAAGCCUUAAUGCACAGUGGACUGCAAAAACCAUGCUAAGGCACUAACGCACAGUAGAUUAGUCUACUGCACAUUAAGCAUCACAAAAAAAGUUUGCCUUUCUUACUGCACAUUACCAUAGCUACUGUGCCUUUAAUACUUCAUAUUAGAGGUACUAAACUUCAUAUUAGAGGUACUGCUACUAGCAGUAGCAAAGGCACAUCAAUGAACGUGUAGAUGUGCCCACUGUCAGAAAAGCCAGCACUCAGGGGUUACCACCCCAAUGUCUUCCCCCACUGCCAGAGGUGGGUCAUCCAGCACACAAGGAGCCCUGCAGUCUGAAUCUGGCCUGUGAGGCCAAGUGAGUUUGACAACCCUGGUUUAAGUCAUGUAGGCCCUGUAGUGCUAGGCAGAAUGUUGCCUAAAUAUCUCUCAAAUUGUAGGUCUAAAUAUCCUGGCAUCAGCCUCUACUAAGAAAAAUGCUAUGAUGCCCUUAUCACUUUGUAUAAGUACUACUAGUCAUGCUGACAGGCAACUCUAUGUUGCAAGCAUUGGUAUUGUUUCUUAUUUGUAUUGCAGUACCAAUGGAGGACACUAAUCGAGAAACAGGUGCUCGUUGUACUAGUCACUACACAGACAUUCAGUAGAAAAACAGUUCAUGCCUCUAAGAACUCACAGGCUAGGUAAUAAUAAGACACAGGGACUAGGUGAGAGAAAGAAAGAGGAAGAAGAGGGCGAAGAGAAAAUAGCAUGAAAGCAAACAAGAGAUUUCAUCUCCUCUCCCACAUCUCUGUUGCCCGCUGGCAGCGCAUUGUGUGUACUUUGCAGAGGGAUACACACUUUUCCUAACAGGAAGAUGCCCGCCAUGAAACAAGGCAGAAAAAGAUAUUUAUCGACUCCAAAAAUGACUGAAAAAAUAUGGGGCUCCACCAUCCCCUGCAUCCCAGCCUCACGCCACCUGAGACCCAAUAUUCCUUUCAGGGUGUUAAAGAAAAGAAAAUAAUCCACACAAAAAUAAACAAACAAAAAUAAAGUCCAUCUUUACUGCUA
This is a long non-coding RNA of Alligator sinensis (Chinese alligator), 5100 nucleotides long. RefSeq lists it as uncharacterized. NCBI's taxonomy places the organism in Eukaryota, Metazoa, Chordata, Crocodylia, Alligatoridae. The transcript is spliced from 2 exons. The record is from RefSeq and is a predicted model, not a curated record.